GACGAACGCUGGCGGCGUGCCUAAUACAUGCAAGUUGAGCGAUGAAGAUUGGUGCUUGCACCAAUUUGAAGAGCAGCAACGGGUGAGUAACGCGUGGGGAAUCUGCCUUUGAGCGGGGGACAACAUUUGGAAACGAAUGCUAAUACCGCAUAACAACUUUAAACAUAAGUUUUAAGUUUGAAAGAUGCAAUUGCAUCACUCAAAGAUGAUCCCGCGUUGUAUUAGCUAGUUGGUGAGGUAAAGGCUCACCAAGGCGAUGAUACAUAGCCGACCUGAGAGGGUGAUCGGCCACAUUGGGACUGAGACACGGCCCAAACUCCUACGGGAGGCAGCAGUAGGGAAUCUUCGGCAAUGGACGAAAGUCUGACCGAGCAACGCCGCGUGAGUGAAGAAGGUUUUCGGAUCGUAAAACUCUGUUGGUAGAGAAGAACGUUGGUGAGAGUGGAAAGCUCAUCAAGUGACGGUAACUACCCAGAAAGGGACGGCUAACUACGUG
Molecule: ribosomal RNA, 496 nt
Filed under: uncultured bacterium
Lineage: Bacteria
Description: partial 16S ribosomal RNA
Rfam family: Bacterial small subunit ribosomal RNA
Source: RNAcentral